CCUACGGGAGGCAGCAGUGGGGAAUAUUGGACAAUGGGGGAAACCCUGAUCCAGCGACGCCGCGUGAGUGAAGAAGUAUUUCGGUACGUAAAGCUCUAUCAGCAGGAAAGAAAAUGACGGUACCUGACUACGUAGCCCCGGAUAACUACGUGCCAGCAGCCGCGGUAAUACGUAGGGGGCACGCGUUAUCCGGAUUUACUGGGUUUAAAGGGAGCGUAGACGGCAGCGCAAGUCUGGAGUGAAAUGCCGGGGCCCAACCCCGGAACUGCGCUGGAAACUGGGAAGCUUGAGUGCAGGAGAGGUAAGCGGAAUUCCUGGUGUAGCGGUGAAAUGCGUAGAUAUCAGGAGGAACACCGGCGGCGAAGGCGGCUUACUGGACUGUAACUGACGUUGAGGCUCGAAGGCGUGGGGAGCAAACAGGAUUAGAUACCCGUGUAGUC
RNAcentral lists this ribosomal RNA (440 nucleotides) under uncultured bacterium. Its description in RNAcentral is "partial 16S ribosomal RNA". It matches the Rfam family "Bacterial small subunit ribosomal RNA", at positions 338 to 795 of the family's 1533-position model. The record is from RNAcentral.